CACUGACCGAGCAUAGCCAGAGGGACGGUGUUGCCGGGCCGCGUGAGUGUGCUGUCUUUCCUUGCUCCCGCGUUCUCACAGUGCCGCUAGCCUCAUUUGAGUGUCGCGCCUAAUGUCGUCGGCAAAGUCGCAGCAGGCAAAAAACGGUGCCGGUAGGUAUCAUGAGUCGGUCUCACACGCACCUUUGCCAGAGUCGCCUUCUCAAGCGCCUGCAUUGACCUCAACAUCGCAGAACGAAGCUGUUUCAACAGAGCACCUGGGCUGGGCAUCUCUCAUCAAGGAGCAGCAUCGACACCUGCAGGCGGCCGUGCAGUCCGGUGUCAGUGGCAGUGGCACUGUGGUAACCGCCAUGGGCGCUUCAUAUUGUCUUACUGCCUCUGCGCCGCCACCGUCGUACCACGAAGAGCUGAAAGCGUGGCGGUGCACGCUGACAGGCGAGGCGGCUGCGCAGCGGCUCUCCGCCUAUGCUGAGGCGAUGCAUCAUCUCGCAACGCUGUACUGGAAUCCAUCUGUGACACCUCUGGCGGGGCACGGCACUGGAGUGGAUGAUAGUAGCCGCGCAAGAGGCGAGCCUGCAGCGCACGGCGGCCGCGCAGCAACGUCUGAAUCCACCGCACCACGUCUUGGCGAGAAGCGCAAGCGAAGUAGCGAUACGGCAGACGGGGUACAAACGCCGUCUUCUUUUGUGAUGAUAGGCGAGGCAAUGUCAGCUACGGUAACUGCGACGAUGUCCGACACCGACUCUCGCCACUACAGCGACCGCCUCGGCUACUGCUUGCAGAGCAUCGCUUCCUACUACCUCGGCGAGGCAGAGACGGAAGGUUGCGGGGAGGGAACUGCAGGCAGCGCACCCGGCGCCGCUGAUGGCCGACCUCCGGCGGCUGUGCAAUCGUCCUCCCUGCCAUGCUUCAGGGUGUGCGUCGAGCAGACACGCUUCCGUCAACUGCCUGGAGUGUUUGCACGAGUCGUGAAGCCCCUUCGCAGGCUCUUCUUUCAGCGAUAUGGUCGCAUGGCGACGGAAGCGGAGGUGGGCCAUCUGAUCAGCGCCUGCACACCAUCCCGGGAUGGCAGCUGCAGCAUUGCGCCAAAGAUGUCGAGGGCUGGCGGCUUCUCUUGCUUGUCCUCGAGUACCGACUCAAUUAGUGGGUCGACAACGGAGGUGUGUGCAGUGCGAGGGCUCAUCGACGAGGAUGUAGACGCACGCGCCAUUGUGGAGGAGUCGACGUGGCGCCGAGGCGAGCACACCGCGUGGGCUACUGCGCUGCACUACACCCGCGGCGCGCCUCAUGCGACGCCGACGUCAGCGCCUGCGCCGCUGUGGACUCUGGAUGUGGGUUCAUGCUACGGUCCCUUUUUCGGCAGGAUCUUGAGCCGUACUGCGCCUCUUGCACCGGUACCUCUGCAUGUAACGUCCAUGGAUCUUGCGCCCUAUCAGGGAGCCGCGGGAUGCAACAAUGGCUCGAACGGUGCCCCGUCACCGUGUGUGUGGCAGGCGGAUUGGCUGCAGAUGGGUUUUUUCGCUGAAGAGCCGGAGGCAGACGAAGCGGUGCGCGGGAGCAGUACCGCCGUUGCAUCCGGCACGGCGGAGGAGGGCCGCGUCCGCUAUCAGCGGCAGCGCCCAGCCAGCAGCCUCACCGACGGGGGUGGAAACUCCGGAUUGUACCCCUGCGACUCACGUGACGGCAGUGCGGGCGACGCGGCGCAAAGUUCGCUUGCAGCGACGGCGGUGCGGCUGGAAAGCUACGACGCCGUUUUUUUCUGUCUUCUCCUUUCCUACAUCCCCACCCCACGCUUGCGUUUCUUGGCGUGCAUCCAUGCUUUCCUGGCGCUCAAGGAAGGUGGGCUGCUUGUUAUUGUGAGCACGCGCACACAGGGUCCGCGGCGUCGCAACUGGAUGAGCGAAUGGACGACGUGCUUGGCCUCGAUCGGGUUUCAGCGCGUGCAGCAGAGCAUUCAGGAGAAGCUUGUGGGCAUGUCCUUUGCAAAGGUGUCGCCCUCUGCAGAGGUGCGGCGGAGCUGGGCGACGGCGGAGGGUCGUGCUGCGUGGAUCGAGUCCCUAAUGGCGUCCUCGGCGGCCCUGGAAGGACUGCGUAUCACCGCAGACGACGCGAGGAGCCGCGCUGAUAUCUAACGAGGGAGGGGGAAAGGGGAGAGGGAGGCUGCACGAAGAUGGCGCGGGAGAAGGCGACGCCGUGGUUUCUUCUCUUCACCCGCGUAUGCACCCACAGGGGAACAGGGCGCGCGCGUGCGCAUCUCUGCACACUCGCCCGCGAAUGAGCACCGAAGCCCCCAGUUGGCACGCCGUUUCUCUGUUCUGCCUUUCUCCCUUUCUUUCUUCCCCGGUCUUGUCCUUUGAGUCUUCACUCCCUCCCACGAUCCUCCAGAGCACUUUGUGGAGCUGACAUCUGGUGAGGGAGCGUGGCGCACAACGAGACUCGGAGCAGAGCCUUUUAGGCCCCGGAAGAGGGUGGGCGCCUUCCACUGUGUUUUGCGUCGUACCUAUGUACGCAUAUGCACAACCGAAGUUAUCAUCGCCAGCUU
RNAcentral lists this unclassified non-coding RNA (2541 nucleotides) under Leishmania donovani. RNAcentral describes it as "gene:LdHU3.23.1700(CDS-product:Probable_methyltra nsferase_BTM2_homolog)". The record is from RNAcentral. Lineage: Eukaryota; Euglenozoa; Kinetoplastea; Trypanosomatida; Trypanosomatidae.